This 85-nucleotide transfer RNA is filed under the name Felis catus (domestic cat). It matches the Rfam family "tRNA". From Rfam's summary of the family: Transfer RNA (tRNA) molecules are approximately 80 nucleotides in length. Their secondary structure includes four short double-helical elements and three loops (D, anti-codon, and T loops). RNAcentral also lists the same sequence under 3 other names. Lineage: Eukaryota; Metazoa; Chordata; Mammalia; Carnivora; Felidae. The record is from Rfam by way of RNAcentral.
GCCUGGGUGGCUCAGUCGGUUGAGCGUCCGACUUCGGCUCGGGUCAUGAUCUCACGGUUCGUGGGUUCGAGCCCCGCGUCGGGCU